Molecule: ribosomal RNA, 1404 nt
Filed under: Triticum aestivum (bread wheat)
Lineage: Eukaryota; Viridiplantae; Streptophyta; Magnoliopsida; Poales; Poaceae
Description: partial small subunit ribosomal RNA
Source: RNAcentral
AUGGAUAGAUCUUGGAUUCGUGGCACACUGUUCUCUCGAGAGUACGUCAAUGGUGUCAAAGAGUUUAUGAACUUAAUUCAAGCAAAAUUCAGCGAGGAUGAAGAAAUACUAUGCCCAUGUAGAGAAUGCCUUGAUCGCAAAUACUGGCAUCAAGCUGUUGUGAACAAGCACAUAUUGACGCAUGGCAUGGAAAGUACAUAUACUCGCUGGAUAUAUCAUGGAGAAGACUUCAAUGCAGAUGUUAUUGAACAUCCUGUUGAUGUGCAUGACUCCGAGGAUGGUAACAAUGGUGCUGACCAAUUUGAAGAGAUGUUUGGCGACCUACGCACAGCAGUAGAACAAGAUCAGAAGGAAACUAAAAAUGAAGACGAUAACAAUGAUGCAAAUCCUUCUGAGACUGAGUCCUUUCUGAAGAAUGUGAGGGAAGAGGCAAAGCGGCACCUUUAUCAUGGUUGUACCAAGUUUUCAAGGUUCUCAUUUGUGGUGAAUCUUCUUCAUUUGAAGUCAUGCCAUAGGAUCACAAAUAGUGCAUUUACUGACAUUUUGAAGCUACUGGCUGAAGCAUUCCCUCAACCCAAUACACUCCCAAAAUCUUAUGACGAAGCAAAGAAUCUUCUAAAGGAAUUAGGCCUUGGGUAUGAGUCUAUACAUGUGUGCAUCAAUAAUUGUGUUUUGUUCAGAAAGCAAUAUGCCAAGCAUGACAACUGCCUAGUUUGUGGCAUGUCAAGGUGGAAAGACCCUGCUAGAAAGAAGAUACCACAGAAAGUUCUGAGGCAUUUUCCAUUGGUGCCUAGGCUGAAGAGGAUGUUUCUUUCCAAAAAAGCAUCAGAAGAAGCACAGUGGCACAAGCUAAAGAGGCAACCCAGUGAGAAGGAAAUGAGCCAUCCAGCUGUCGGUGAUGCAUGGCAAGAUUUUGAUGAAAAAUAUCCAAAAUUUGCAGAAGAUGCCAGAAACAUGAGGCUUGGUAUUGCCACUGAUGGGUUCAAUCCUUUCAGAAACUUUAACACAACCUAUAGUAUGUGCCCUGUAUUUGUUGUGCCAUACAACCUUCCACCUUGGGCAUGCAUGGAUCAGUCAAAUUUCAUGAUGGCUCUGUUAAUUCCAGGCCCUAAAUCACCUGGCAAGCACUUUGAUGUCUUCCUACAGCCACUUGUAGAAGAUUUACUUGAGCUUUGGAAGGGUGUGCGUACAUAUGAUGCUCGUGAAGGAAAAAUGUUUGAUCUUCAUGCUGCAGUUCUAUGGUGCAUUCAUGAUUACCCAGCUCUGAGCACUCUUUCAGGACGUACCACAAGAGGCUAUGCUGCAUGUAUUCAUUGUGACAAACACCCUCUUUCCUACGGCCUAAGGCACAAAAUUGGGUAUAUUAGGCAUUAUCGUUUCCUUCCAAAGGGACAUCGUUUGUGA